RNAcentral lists this ribosomal RNA (460 nucleotides) under uncultured bacterium. RNAcentral's name for it is "partial 16S ribosomal RNA". It matches the Rfam family "Bacterial small subunit ribosomal RNA", at positions 338 to 795 of the family's 1533-position model. The record is from RNAcentral.
CCUACGGGUGGCAGCAGUGAGGAAUAUUGGUCAAUGGACGAGAGUCUGAACCAGCCAAGUAGCGUGAAGGAUGACUGCCCUAUGGGUUGUAAACUUCUUUUAUAUGGGAAUAAAAUGUUCCACGUGUGGGAUUUUGUAUGUACCAUAUGAAUAAAGAUCGGCUAACUCCGUGCCAGCAGCCGCGGUAAUACGGAGGAUCCGAGCGUUAUCCGGAUUUAUUGGGUGUAAAGGGAGCGUAGGUGGAUUGUUAAGUCAGUUGUGAAAGUUUGCGGCUCAACCGUAAAAUUGCAGUUGAAACUGGCAGUCUUGAGUACAGUAGAGGUGGGUGGAAUUCGUGGUGUAGCGGUGAAAUGCUUAGAUAUCACGAAGAACUCCGAUUGCGAAGGCAGUUCACUGGACUGCAACUGACACUGAGGCUCGAAAGUGUGGGUAUCAAACAGGAUUAGAUACCCCAGUAGUC